Ochotona princeps (American pika) is the source of this 966-nucleotide long non-coding RNA. RefSeq lists it as uncharacterized. Lineage: Eukaryota; Metazoa; Chordata; Mammalia; Lagomorpha; Ochotonidae. The record is from RefSeq and is a predicted model, not a curated record. The transcript has 6 exons.
CCCGUUGCCUGCUGCCCCCUCCUAUUGCCUAGAGGAGCCAGGGAUGCCACGGGCUGAGGGGCUGGACUCAGAGCACAAGCCCCAGAACUGCUGUCCCAGGAAGCUUCCAGACUCCUCAGAAGGGACACCUUUCCUGGCCUCCACAUGUUGCCUGGGAUUUCCUUCAUCUGACACACCUCCUCACAUUGUCCUUGUGUGUGUUUACCACUCCUCCCAGCCCCGCCUCAUCAGCCUCUCUCAGUUCUGAAGGGGUGGAAGCGGUCCAAUUCUCCCCAGGCCUAGCCCAUAGCUGGACACACGCACAAACCAGCAGCGGCGCCAGCGUGGACCCAUGAAGCCACUAGGGGCCUUGCGCAGCAGGAGCCACCCAUCGCAGUCGGGCCGGCCCAGCUCCCGGCAGGACACCCGUCGGCGGCUCAGCCUGGUCGCCACGCCUGCAGCAGCACAGCACCGCCAGGCUGCUGAGGGGCUGGCAAGAUGCUGUGGCCCUCCACAAGCAGCCCCAGGGGCUGCCCCUGCCAGGUCUGUAUCCCUGGACUGCUGCACGUCACCUCAGACUACUCCUGUGCAGCCCUCAUGACGCGACGAUGCUGAUCGAUGGUGGAGCCCCGUUGGCCAGGGCAGUCUGCACAGCAUCCCAUUGGAUCCCAGGCACCAGAAAGGUCGUGGUGGCAGAAGUGGGAGGUGGGCUUACUCACCAGAGCCCGGAGCUGUUCUACACCAUCCAGGAUGAGCUCCUGGUGGCCCAGGGGCCACACGGUCAGAGCCUCGAGGCUGCGUGGGCAGAGCUGCAGCAGAUCCUGCAGGGGAUUUCAACACUGCCUGAGGCCCAAGAGCUAGUGUCCAGAGGGCUACAAGCAAGUUGCUGUGGGUUCAGGAAGGCCAGAGCACAUGAACAAUCGUACAACUGCUCUGGGCCUCAGCCUCCUCACCUAUGAAAUGGGAACAAUGGAAUACCUACCUUUA